UUAGCGGCGGACGGGUGAGUAACACGUGGGUAACCUGCCCAUAAGACUGGGAUAACUCCGGGAAACCGGGGCUAAUACCGGAUAACAUUUUGAACUGCAUGGUUCGAAAUUGAAAGGCGGCUUCGGCUGUCACUUAUGGAUGGACCCGCGUCGCAUUAGCUAGUUGGUGAGGUAACGGCUCACCAAGGCAACGAUGCGUAGCCGACCUGAGAGGGUGAUCGGCCACACUGGGACUGAGACACGGCCCAGACUCCUACGGGAGGCAGCAGUAGGGAAUCUUCCGCAAUGGACGAAAGUCUGACGGAGCAACGCCGCGUGAGUGAUGAAGGCUUUCGGGUCGUAAAACUCUGUUGUUAGGGAAGAACAAGUGCUAGUUGAAUAAGCUGGCACCUUGACGGUACCUAACCAGAAAGCCACGGCUAACUACGUGCCAGCAGCCGCGGUAAUACGUAGGUGGCAAGCGUUAUCCGGAAUUAUUGGGCGUAAAGCGCGCGCAGGUGGUUUCUUAAGUCUGAUGUGAAAGCCC
RNAcentral lists this ribosomal RNA (526 nucleotides) under Bacillus thuringiensis. RNAcentral's name for it is "bacterial SSU rRNA". It matches the Rfam family "Bacterial small subunit ribosomal RNA", at positions 92 to 603 of the family's 1533-position model. Lineage: Bacteria; Bacillati; Bacillota; Bacilli; Caryophanales; Bacillaceae. The record is from RNAcentral.